RNAcentral lists this ribosomal RNA (315 nucleotides) under uncultured bacterium. RNAcentral's name for it is "bacterial SSU rRNA". It matches the Rfam family "Bacterial small subunit ribosomal RNA", at positions 28 to 342 of the family's 1533-position model. The record is from RNAcentral.
GAUGAACGCUAGCGGCAGGCUUAAUACAUGCAAGUCGAACGGUAAGUUUGGUAGCAAUAUCAAACCAAGAGUGACGUACGGGUGCGUAACACGUAUGCAACCUACCUUGUACAGGAGUAUAGCUCGGGGAAACUCGAAUUAACCCUCCAUGAGAUCAUAGAAUGGCAUCAUUUAGUGAUUAAAACUCAGGUGGUACAAGAUGGGCAUGCGUCUGAUUAGAGUUGGCGGGGUAAUGGCCCACCAAGACGAUGAUCAGUAGGGGACCUGAGAGGUGACUCCCCCANACUGGCACUGAGAUACGGGCCAGACUCCUAC